CCUACGGGAGGCUGCAGUGGGGAAUAUUGCACAAUGGGGGAAACCCUGAUGCAGCAACGCCGCGUGAGUGAGGAAGUAUUUCGGUAUUUAAAGCUCUUUCUGCAGGGAAGAGAAACGAAGGUACCUGAAAUAGAAGCCCCGGCUAACUACGUGCACGUAGCCGCGGUAAUACGUAGGGGGCAAGCUUUUUCCGGAUUUACUGGGUGUAAAGGGAGCGUAGACGGAAAGGGAAGUCAGAAGUGAAAACCCAAGGCUCAAACAUGGGACUGCUUUUGAAACUGUAAAACUAGAGUACGGGAGAGGUAAGAGGAAUGCCUAGUGUAGUGGUGAAAUGCGUAGAUAUUAGGAGGAACACCAGUGGCGAAGGCGGCUUACUGGACCGAAACUGACGUUGAGGCUCGAAAGCGUGGGGAGCGAACAGGAUUAGAUACCCUUGUAGUC
This 441-nucleotide ribosomal RNA is filed under the name uncultured bacterium. RNAcentral describes it as "partial 16S ribosomal RNA". It matches the Rfam family "Bacterial small subunit ribosomal RNA", at positions 338 to 795 of the family's 1533-position model. The record is from RNAcentral.